UUCCGGUGCAAGUGUGUAGGUAUGCUCCGCAGGCAAAUCCGCGGAGAUGAGCCGAGACACGAGUCCGUGGGCGCAAGCCCUGAAGCUGUUGAGCCACGGCUGCCAAGAAAAGCUUCUAAGUUUAGAUCGCGCGAACCGUACCGCAAACCAACUCAGGUGGAUGGGAUGAAUAAUCCAAGGCGCUCGAGAGAACUCUGGCCAAGGAACUCGGCAAAUUGACCCCGUACCUUCGGAAUAAGGGGUGCUCCCCACGGUGAGACAAAUUCUUGUUCAGCCCCGGGGAGCCGCAGAGAAAUGGUGGUGGCGACUGUUUACUAAAAACAUAGGUCUGUGCGAAGUCCUACAGACGACGUAUACGGACUGACGCCUGCCCGGUGCCGGAAGGUUAAAAGGAGGAGUCAGCGCAAGCGAAGCUCCGAUUUGAAGCCCCGGUAAACGGCGGCCGUAACUAUAACGGUCCUAAGGUAGCGAAAUUCCUUGUCGGGCAAGUUCCGACCUGCACGAAUGGCGUAACGAUCUCCACGCUGUCUCGGCCAGAGACUCGGUGAAAUUGAAGUCGCGGUGAAAAUGCCGUGUACCCGCAGAAAGACGGAAAGACCCUGUGCACCUUUACUAUAGCUUGACAUUGGGUUUUGAACCUGCAUGUGUAGGAUAGGUGGGAGGCUGUGAAAGCUGUACGCCAGUAUGGCCGGAGCCACCCGUGAAAUACCACCCUUGUUUGUUCAGGACCCUAACUCGCAGCUGUAAUCCAGCGCGAAGACAGUGUCUGGUGGGUAGUUUGACUGGGGCGGUCGCCUCCUAAAGAGUAACGGAGGCAUGCAAAGGUUCCCUCAGGCUGAUUGGAAACCAGCCGUUGAGUGCAAGCGCAUAAGGGAGCUUGACUGCAAGAGAGACAUCUCGAACAGAUACGAAAGUAGGUGCUAGUGAUCCGGUGGUCCGAAUGGAAGGGCCAUCGCUCAUUGGAUAAAAGGUACGCCGGGGAUAACAGGCUGAUCGCAUCCAAGAGUUCUCAUCGACGAUGCGGUUUGGCACCUCGAUGUCGGCUCAUCACAUCCUGGGGCUGAAGCAGGUCCCAAGGGUACGGCUGUUCGCCGUUUAAAGUGGUACGCGAGCUGGGUUUAAAACGUCGUGAGACAGUUGGUCCCUAUCUUCUGUGGGCGUAGGAGAAUUGAGAGGGUUUGUCCCUAGUACGAGAGGACCGGGAUGAACGCACCACUGGUGGAUCAGUUGUCGCGCCAGCGGCAUAGCUGAGUAGCUAUGUGCGGAAUGGAUAACCGCUGAAAGCAUCUAAGCGGGAAGCAAGCCUCGAGAUAAGUUCUCCCUGUCGCAAGACACUAAAGGGCCGAUGAAGACUACAUCGUUGAUAGGCCGGAGGUGGAAGCGCUGCGAAGCGUGGAGCUGACCGGUACUAAUAGCCCGUGCGCCU
RNAcentral lists this ribosomal RNA (1426 nucleotides) under metagenome. RNAcentral describes it as "bacterial LSU rRNA". It matches the Rfam family "Bacterial large subunit ribosomal RNA", at positions 1505 to 2925 of the family's 2925-position model. The record is from RNAcentral.